AUGGAGCCGGGAGACCGGGGGAGGGGGAAGAUCCCUCCAGCCCCUCCACCAGAGCCCGCGGGCAGUGCGCCUGGGAGGUCAGAGCUGGCAGGUGGGCGGAUAAGCGGGGGGACAGGCAGGGCCCUGCGUACCAUGGUGCCGUGGCGCUGGGGGCUCACAGGGCCCCGCGGGAUCGCGCUGCCCCCGGCGGCCAGGCCGGGGCCGCUCCAUGAAGCGCCGCGCUGGGGGCCGCCCCCGCGCAGGGCCCCGCGACCAUGGCCCCCGGGGGCGCGGCCGGGCAGGCGGAGGCGCAGGGCCGCGGCGAGUCCAGCGCCGAGCAGCUGCGGCCCCAGAGCCUCGGGCGCGGCGGGCGGGGGGCGCGGGGCGCCGAUUGGAGCCCGCGCGUCAGCUGGGGCCGCCGUCUGGACGCUUAAAGGGCCAGGCCGCCUGCGUGCCGGCGGGGGGCGCGGACACGCGUGGUGUGCGCCGUCCCCUUGCAGCCCGCCCUGCUGCAGGCUGCCCUCCACCCCUCAGCCCCUGCUCCAGCCCCCAGCCCGUCCCCACUGCUCAUAUCCGAGCAGAUGGACCCCGGCCCCACCCUCCCGUGCUGAGCCUCCUUUCUGCCGGGAAGUUCGUCCGGGAGUCAAACAUCGGUGCCCUCCGGUUGCGCCACGGAGGGGAAGCUGCCGUGAAAUCAGGAAGCUGAGAGCGCCGGGCCCCGGAUCCGAUCAGAAAAGGCUUCCACCCGCUUCCCUGAGCGAUCCCACGCUGAUCCUACUGAACCCCGCACCCCAGCCGCGCUCACCACCCCCACCCUCUUGCCUGGGCUGUUCUGACCUGGGGGUAUCUACCCUCAGUGCUGGAGUGUCCCCAGGCUUGGUUGGGGAAACCAGAUUCAACCCCACUGAAGUUGGAAAGAACAGCCCAGGUUGUGGGUACCCAACUCCUCCCGAAACCUCUGGACUCCUGAGGGGCCUUUACUGCAUCAAAGAACUUCUCCCUGCUGUCUUCCCAGCUCAUUCUACCACAAGGCCCUCAUGGGCCUGCGGGCUCUCGCCUCACUGUGGGCAACAGCAGAGUUGA
Molecule: long non-coding RNA, 1062 nt
Filed under: Macaca mulatta (Rhesus monkey)
Lineage: Eukaryota; Metazoa; Chordata; Mammalia; Primates; Cercopithecidae
Description: lncRNA (ENSMMUG00000050407.1)
Source: RNAcentral